GAUGAACGCUGGCGGCGUGCCUAAUACAUGCAAGUCGAGCGAACAGAUGAGGAGCUUGCUCCUCUGACGUUAGCGGCGGACGGGCGCGUAACACAUGUAUAACAUACCUAUAAGACUGGGAUAACUUCGCGAAACAGGAGCUAAUACCGGAUCAGAUAUUGAACCGCAUUGUUCAAUAGUGAAAGACGGGUUUGCUGUCACUCAUAGAUGGAUCCGCGCCGCAUUAGCCAGUUGGUAAGGUAACGGCUUACCAAGGCAACGAUGCGUAGCCGACCUGAAAGGGUGAUCGCCCACAUGGGACCGGAGACAGGGUCAAGCCUCCUACGGGGGGAAGCAGUAGGGAAUCUUCCGCAAGGGGGGAAAGCCUGACGGAGCAACGCCGCGUGAGGGAUGAGGGUCUUCGGAUCGUAAACCUCUGUUAUUAGGGAGGAACAAAUGUGUAAGUAACUAUGCACGUCUUGACGGUACCUAAUCAGAAAGCCACGGCUAACUACGUG
Molecule: ribosomal RNA, 497 nt
Filed under: uncultured bacterium
Lineage: Bacteria
Description: partial 16S ribosomal RNA
Rfam family: Bacterial small subunit ribosomal RNA
Source: RNAcentral